RNAcentral lists this long non-coding RNA (1343 nucleotides) under Homo sapiens (human). RNAcentral's name for it is "PREDICTED lncRNA (TCONS_00086758)". Lineage: Eukaryota; Metazoa; Chordata; Mammalia; Primates; Hominidae. The record is from RNAcentral.
GCAGGACUUAUCUAGCUGCCUCCACAGAAUAGCCAAGCAACUCUACACCCGCUUUAGCCCCCACAAAAACAAGCGGAUUGCACUACAAAUAAUUUGCCUAUUUGGAAAAUGAAAGCUUCUCUGUAGUUUGAGGUCCUAUUUUUUCUUUAAGUUGUUACAGUCUUUUCAUGGUCCUUGAGGUCUAGGUUAGGUUUUUGUUUGGGGUAAUUUUUGUAUCCUAUGGAUACUAUUUAAUCUUUAGUAUUGAGUCAGUAUUUCUCACUUAGGCCUUAGGGGAAUACUGCCUGAAGUAUGUAGGGGGCAUGCGGAAUUCAGACGUGGCUUGGAAACUGCACCAUGGGUUCACCCAAGAAACAGACCAGAGGCAACACAUUCUAUCACUAAAACGUGUUCUCAGUUACACUUCCCUUCCAAAGAGGAGAAAAUAUACAAAGAGAAGAUGAAGAGACAACCAAAGAUUAUUUGUGCCCAUGAGGGAAACACGAAGGAUUGUCAGUAUUCAUUUGCUAUCAGAACUGCCUUUGAACUUCAGGGAAGCCGCCAUCUUGUUUUAGUUCACUCCUCUAAAGCACAGUGUCUGCAACAUGAAACACUAGUAAGACACAGUUAUCCAGAAAGAGCCCUAGAGAUGGAUAAGGAACCUGUUGGAAUGCUCUGAUAUUAAGAAAAAAAAAAUUAAAUUCAAAACCAAAAACAAGUCACAAGUGUCCACAAGAAGUUUUUUCCUGGAAGUCUUUUUUUCAGAGAAAUCUAUGUACCACGGCUGUGUUCAAACAUGAUACAGAGACCCCAAAUGCCACUUGCUUGCUGUCUUCCUGGGAACAGGAUGAGGAUGUAAUCUGAGCUUUUUAGGGUCUAUCUCUACAUUGCAACAUCAUAACACUGAAGUGUAGAUUUAUAGCUGCUUUAUGUAUAUUUUCUUACUCCCAAAGCCCCCCUUUUUACAGAUACAUACACAACAUGUCAUGUAGAAAAAUAUAAAUUGUUGACCGUACAGGCACUUUCUUCCUUUUUAAACCUUUCCAAAGGUCUUUUUGUUAAAUACACCCAGAUGCCGUUUGACAGAUGAGGGGCUAAUUGCUCUGUGAAUUACCUCUAUCGAUUCCUGUUUCAUGUUGAGCCAAACAAACAAAAGAUAUUAAUGCUUUGAAAAAAAUGAAUGAUGACCUUUCUCUGCAAACACAGCUUGCGGUCUCUGAUUAUUGGUGAUUCCAGAGAGCAGCGGUCAAUCGCAAUAGCUGUAACGCUAUGAUCACUAUAAUAAGCUUGCCUGACCUUCUCUGCCAUGUUAAGUGGUUUAAAUUUAUUUGCCCAACAACAGAAGAGCUUUCACUUAAAGUCAC